GUCCUAGCCCUAAACGAUGGAUGCUUGGUGUGAUCGGUACCCAAUCCGAUCGUGCCGGAGCUAACGCGUUAAGCAUCCCGCCUGGGGAGUACGGUCGCAAUGCUGAAACUCAAAGGAAUUGACGUGGGCCCCGCACAAGCGGUGGAGCAUGUGGUUCAAUUCGACGCAACGCGAAGAACCUUACCUGGGCUCGAAGCGCAGUGGAUCGGGGUGGAAACACCCUUUCCCGCAAGGGCUGCUGCGUAGGUGCUGCAUGGCUGUCGU
Molecule: ribosomal RNA, 264 nt
Filed under: uncultured bacterium
Lineage: Bacteria
Description: partial 16S ribosomal RNA
Rfam family: Bacterial small subunit ribosomal RNA
Source: RNAcentral